AUCCCUGUAGCGCAAUAGAUAGCGCGUUGGUCUUCUAAUCCGAAGGUUAUGGGUUCGAAUCCUACCUGGGAUG
Trichonephila clavipes is the source of this 73-nucleotide non-coding RNA. The record is from the annotation of a GenBank genome assembly. Lineage: Eukaryota; Metazoa; Arthropoda; Arachnida; Araneae; Nephilidae.